AUUUCUGAGAAUUUGAUCUUGGUUCAGAUUGAACGCUGGCGGCGUGGAUGAGGCAUGCAAGUCGAACGGAACGGUUUUAUAGCUGUUUAGUGGCGGAAGGGUUAGUAAUGCAUAGAUAAUUUGUCUUUAACUUGGGAAUAACGGUUGGAAACGGCCGCUAAUACCGAAUGUGGCGCUAUUUAGGCAUCUAGAUGGUGUUAAAGAAGGGGAUCGUAGGACCUUUCGGUUAAAGGGGAGUCUAUGUGAUAUCAGCUAGUUGGUGGGGUAAAGGCCUACCAAGGCGAUGACGUCUAGGCGGAUUGAGAGAUUGGCCGCCAACACUGGGACUGAGACACUGCCCAGACUCCUACGGGAGGCUGCAGUCGAGAAUCUUUCGCAAUGGACGGAAGUCUGACGAAGCGACGCCGCGUGUGUGAUGAAGGCUCUAGGGUUGUAAAGCACUUUCGCCUGGGAAUAAGAGAAGGCGGUUAAUACCCGUCGGAUUUGAGCGUACUAGGUAAAGAAGCACCGGCUAACUCCGUGCCAGCAGCUGCGGUAAUACGGAGGGUGCUAGCGUUAAUCGGAUUUAUUGGGCGUAAAGGGCGUGUAGGCGGAAGAGUAAGUYRGUUGUCAAAUCUCGGGGCUCAACCCCGAAUCGGCAUCUGAUACUAUUUUUCUAGAGGGUAGAUGGAGAAAAGGGAAUUUCACGUGUAGCGGUGAAAUGCGUAGAUAUGUGGAAGAACACCAGUGGCGAAGGCGCUUUUCUAAUUUAYACCUGACGCUAAGGCGCGAAAGCAAGGGGAGCAAACAGGAUUAGAUACCCUGGUAGUCCUUGCCGUAAACGAUGCAUACUUGAUGUGGAUGGUCUCAACCCCAUCCGUGUCGGAGCUAACGCGUUAAGUAUGCCGCCUGAGGAGUACACUCGCAAGGGUGAAACUCAAAAGAAUUGACGGGGGCCCGCACAAGCAGUGGAGCAUGUGGUUUAAUUCGAUGCRACGCGAAGGACCUUACCUGGGUUUGACAUGCAUAUGACCGCGGCAGAAAUGUCGUUUUCCGCAAGGACAUAUGCACAGGUGCUGCAUGGCUGUCGUCAGCUCGUGCCGUGAGGUGUUGGGUUAAGUCCCGCAACGAGCGCAACCCUUAUCGUUAGUUGCCAGCACUUAGGGUGGGAACUCUAACGAGACUGCCUGGGUUAACCAGGAGGAAGGCGAGGAUGACGUCAAGUCAGCAUGGCCCUUAUGCCCAGGGCGACACACGUGCUACAAUGGCCAGUACAGAAGGUAGCAAGAUCGUGAGAUGGAGCAAAUCCUUAAAGCUGGCCCCAGUUCGGAUUGUAGUCUGCAACUCGACUACAUGAAGUCGGAAUUGCUAGUAAUGGCGUGUCAGCCAUAACGCCGUGAAUACGUUCCCGGGCCUUGUACACACCGCCCGUCACAUCAUGGGAGUUGGUUUUACCUUAAGUCGUUGACUCAACCCGCRAGGGRGAGAGGCGCCCAAGGUGAGGCUGAUGACUAGGAUGAAGUCGUAACAAGGUAGCCCUACCGGAAGGUGGGGCUGGAUCACCUCCUUU
This 1549-nucleotide ribosomal RNA is filed under the name Chlamydia muridarum MopnTet14. RNAcentral describes it as "bacterial SSU rRNA". It matches the Rfam family "Bacterial small subunit ribosomal RNA". The record is from RNAcentral. Lineage: Bacteria; Pseudomonadati; Chlamydiota; Chlamydiia; Chlamydiales; Chlamydiaceae.